AACGAACGCUGGCGGCAGGCCUAACACAUGCAAGUCGAGCGAGGACUUCGGUUCUAGCGGCGGACGGGUGAGUAACGCGUGGGAAUGUGCCCUUCUCUACGGAAUAGCCCUGGGAAACUGGGAGUAAUACCGUAUACGCCCUAUUGGGGAAAGAUUUAUCGGAGAAGGAUCAGCCCGCGUUGGAUUAGGUAGUUGGUGGGGUAAUGGCCUACCAAGCCGACGAUCCAUAGCUGGUUUGAGGGGAUGAUCAGCCACACUGGGACUGAGACACGGCCCAGACUCCUACGGGAGGCAGCAGUGGGGAAUCUUAGACAAUGGGGGCAACCCUGAUCUAGCCAUGCUGCGUGAGUGAUGAAGGCCUUAGGGUUGUAAAGCUCUUUCAGCUGGGAAGAUAAUGACGGUACCAGCAGAAGAAGCCCCGGCUAACUCCGUG
Molecule: ribosomal RNA, 433 nt
Filed under: uncultured bacterium
Lineage: Bacteria
Description: partial 16S ribosomal RNA
Rfam family: Bacterial small subunit ribosomal RNA
Source: RNAcentral